CUUGGGGUUUGGGAGUGUUUAUUUUAUGUCAAGCAUUUGUAGAUAGAUUAGCUUAGAUCUUGGUCCUAUAUAUAUUAUUUUGUAGGGUAAUCCCAAAGAAUCUAGGGGAUAUAACUUCUACCUUGCUAAAGAAUAAAUGUUGUUUAGUAUUUCUUUCAGAAAAGGAGUACCUUGGUGAAGGUAUUGAUGCCUUUAAUGUAGAGCUUAUGAAGUUCGAUAGGUAGAAGAACCAAUACAAUUUAGUAAACCCAUAGAACUAAAUUUGAUUAGAUUAAAUUCAAAAUCCAUUGUAGAGGCACCAUUAAGG
RNAcentral lists this long non-coding RNA (307 nucleotides) under Elaeis guineensis (African oil palm). RNAcentral's name for it is "long non-coding RNA (EGUI_LNC060945)". Lineage: Eukaryota; Viridiplantae; Streptophyta; Magnoliopsida; Arecales; Arecaceae. The record is from RNAcentral.